CCUACGGGCGGCAGCAGUGAGGAAUAUUGGUCAAUGGACGGAAGUCUGAACCAGCCAUGCCGCGUGCAGGAAGACGGCUCUCUGAGUUGUAAACUGCUUUUGUACAAGGGUAAACCUGAAUACGUGUCUUCAGCUGAAAGUACUGUACGAAUAAGGAUCGGCUAACUCCGUGCCAGCAGCCGCGGUAAUACGGAGGUUGCGAGCGUUAUCCGGUUUUAUUGGGUUUAAAGUGUGCGUAGGCGGACUGUUAAGUCAGAGGUAAAAGCCCGGGGCUCAACCCCGACGAGCCGUUGAAACUGGCUGUCUUGAGAUGUCGAGAGGUAUGCGGAAUGCGCAGUGUAGCGGUGAAAUGCUUAGAUAUUGCGCAGAACUCCGACGGCGAAGGCAGCAUACCGGCGGCGAUCUGACGCUGAGGCACGAAAGCGUGGGUAGCGAACAGGAUUAGAUACCCGAGUAGUC
Molecule: ribosomal RNA, 459 nt
Filed under: uncultured bacterium
Lineage: Bacteria
Description: partial 16S ribosomal RNA
Rfam family: Bacterial small subunit ribosomal RNA
Source: RNAcentral